GUUGAGGAACUGCAGCGUCACCACAUGGUGGUGACUGAUGUUCAAGAGCUGCCACACACUGACCAGCCUGCCACCAGCACAUCCCCACAGCCACGUGUGGCUGAGACCAGCAUUCCAAUGUGAGAGAUGUGCAGUUGAGUGGCCGGUCAAAGAAGCUCAUGGCAGAGAAGGGGCUGCAUAGAAAGCAUUCGCUGGACUACCCACUGCUGAAGAGCUUCACCAACCACCUGGAUAUAGACCUGCACAAUGAAAAUUUCAAACAGGAGGUUAAAAAUGUGGCCAGGUUCAUGUUUUACAUGAAUCCUGUUCAGCCCUCCCUUGAGUUUGUCAGGGAUAAGGA
Molecule: long non-coding RNA, 340 nt
Organism: Sinocyclocheilus rhinocerous
Lineage: Eukaryota; Metazoa; Chordata; Actinopteri; Cypriniformes; Cyprinidae
Exons: 4
Source: RefSeq, a predicted model, not a curated record